This 298-nucleotide ribosomal RNA is filed under the name uncultured bacterium. Its description in RNAcentral is "partial 16S ribosomal RNA". It matches the Rfam family "Bacterial small subunit ribosomal RNA", at positions 335 to 630 of the family's 1533-position model. The record is from RNAcentral.
GGUUCCUCGGGGCGCAGCAGUGAGGAAUAUUGGUCAAUGGGCGGAAGCCUGAACCAGCCAAGUCGCGUGAGGGAUUAAGGCCCUGCGGGUCGUAAACCUCUUUUGCCGGGGAGCAGAGGUCCGGACGUGUCCGGGCCGGGAGAGUACCCGGAGAAAAAGCAUCGGCUAACUCCGUGCCAGCAGCCGCGGGAAUACGGAGGAUGCGAGCGUUAUCCGGAUUUAUUGGGUUUAAAGGGUGCGUAGGCGGGCAGUUAAGCCGGCGGUCAAAUGUCGGGGCUCAACCCCGGCCUGCUGGCGG